Molecule: ribosomal RNA, 437 nt
Filed under: uncultured Desulfovibrio sp.
Lineage: Bacteria; Pseudomonadati; Thermodesulfobacteriota; Desulfovibrionia; Desulfovibrionales; Desulfovibrionaceae
Description: partial 16S ribosomal RNA
Rfam family: Bacterial small subunit ribosomal RNA
Source: RNAcentral
ACGGGAGGCAGCAGUGGGGAAUAUUGGGCAAUGGGGGAAACCCUGACCCAGCAACGCCGCGUGAGGGAAGAAGGCUUUCGGGUUGUAAACCUCUUUUACCAGGGACGAAGAACGUGACGGUACCUGGAGAAAAAGCAACGGCUAACUACGUGCCAGCAGCCGCGGUAAUACGUAGGUUGCAAGCGUUAAUCGGAAUUACUGGGCGUAAAGCGCAUGUAGGCUGUACGGUAAGUCAGUGGUGAAAUCCCUGGGCUCAACCUGGGAACUGCCAUUGAAACUGCCGAACUGGAGUGUGAGAGAGGAUAGCGGAAUUCCAGGUGUAGGAGUGAAAUCCGUAGAUAUCUGGAAGAACAUCAGUGGCGAAGGCGGCUAUCUGGCUCAUUACUGACGCUGAGAUGCGAAAGCGUGGGUAGCAAACAGGAUUAGAUACCCUGGUA